AGUCUUCCUGGACUGGAUGUUUCUCCUGGAGAUUUGUUCGUGUCCAAUGGCGUUGCUGAUAUUUUAAAUAAAUCAGCCUAUUCAGACACUAAGAAAUCAAAGUGGCCUUUCUCGAGGCGUAACACACAGACAAAAGGGAAGACUCGCAGCGUAGCUGACAUUGACAAGUGUCUGGCUGGCAUUCAGAUCCAGGAAUGGCGAGACACAGACUUUCAGACAU
Molecule: long non-coding RNA, 220 nt
Organism: Sinocyclocheilus anshuiensis
Lineage: Eukaryota; Metazoa; Chordata; Actinopteri; Cypriniformes; Cyprinidae
Exons: 3
Source: RefSeq, a predicted model, not a curated record